Molecule: non-coding RNA, 229 nt
Organism: Schizosaccharomyces pombe (fission yeast)
Lineage: Eukaryota; Fungi; Ascomycota; Schizosaccharomycetes; Schizosaccharomycetales; Schizosaccharomycetaceae
Source: the annotation of a GenBank genome assembly
GAAUUGUUCAAUCUCACGCAUCAUGCGAACAUCGUCGUUGGUAACAAAGUUAAUGGAAACACCCUUACGACCGAAACGACCACCACGACCAAUACGGUGAAUGUAGUUUUCUCUGUUAGCAGGUAAGUCAUAGUUGAUAACCAAGGAGACUUGUUGGACAUCGAUACCACGAGCAAGAAGAUCGGUGGUGAUAAGAAUACGAGAAGAACCAGUACGGAACUCAUGCAUC